This 496-nucleotide ribosomal RNA is filed under the name uncultured bacterium. Its description in RNAcentral is "partial 16S ribosomal RNA". It matches the Rfam family "Bacterial small subunit ribosomal RNA", at positions 28 to 506 of the family's 1533-position model. The record is from RNAcentral.
GAUGAACGCUGGCGGCGUGCCUAAUACAUGCAAGUCGAGCGAACAGACGAGGAGCUUGCUCCUCUGACGUUAGCGGCGGACGGGUGAGUAACACGUGGAUAACCUACCUAUAAGACUGGGAUAACUUCGGGAAACCGGAGCUAAUACCGGAUAAUAUAUUGAACCGCAUGGUUCAAUAGUGAAAGACGGUUUUGCUGUCACUUAUAGAUGGAUCCGCGCCGCAUUAGCUAGUUGGUAAGGUAACGGCUUACCAAGGCAACGAUGCGUAGCCGACCUGAGAGGGGGAUCGGCCAAACGGGAACGGAGCACGGGUCCAGACUCCUAGGGGAGGCAGGAGUAGGGAAUUUUCCGCAAGGGGCGAAAGCUUGACGGAGCAACGCCGCGUGAGUGAAGAAGGUCUUCGGAUCGUAAAACUUUGUUAUUAGGGAAGAAAAAAUGUGUAAGUAACUAUGCACGUCUUGACGGUACCUAAUCAGAAAGCCACGGCUAACUACGU